UAGGGAAUCUUCGGCAAUGGACGAAAGUCUGACCGAGCAACGCCGCGUGAGUGAAGAAGGUUUUCGGAUCGUAAAACUCUGUUGUUAGAGAAGAACAAGGACGUUAGUAACUGAACGUCCCCUGACGGUAUCUAACCAGAAAGCCACGGCUAACUACGUGCCAGCAGCCGGUAAUACGUAGGUGGCAAGCGUUGUCCGGAUUUAUUGGGCGUAAAGCGAGCGCAGGCGGUUUCUUAAGUCUGAUGUGAAAGCCCCCGGCUCAACCGGGGAGGGUCAUUGGAAACUGGGAGACUUGAGUGCAGAAGAGGAGAGUGGAAUUCCAUGUGUAGCGGUGAAAUGCGUAGAUAUAUGGAGGAACACCAGUGGCGAAGGCGGCUCUCUGGUCUGUAACUGACGCUGAGGCUCGAAAGCGUGGGGAGCAAACAGG
Molecule: ribosomal RNA, 427 nt
Filed under: Gemmatimonadota bacterium
Lineage: Bacteria; Pseudomonadati; Gemmatimonadota
Description: Gemmatimonadetes bacterium partial 16S ribosomal RNA
Rfam family: Bacterial small subunit ribosomal RNA
Source: RNAcentral